UCAAUCCUGGAUAUGACUUGGAGCAGCCCAACCUUUGCAUGAAGGAUGCAAAACCAGAGGAUGGAAGAUCUUUUUUUCUUCCUUUCAAAUAAGCAAAUAAAUCUUAAAGGGUUACAAUGGAAAUAGUAGCUGUUUGGUGUAGGAUAAUUUCUCAAGACUUUCUGUACCCAUGAGAAUAACUCUGCAGUCCAACAGGAAUAACUGGCUCACGAGUCUGAAAGCACUGCCAAGCCGCAUACGCACACAUACCUGUCAGCAUGCUGCUUUUCAGAACUAACCUGCCUGGAUGGUAGCAAUCUGUGAGGAAACACUUUCAUAUAGUGCCAAAGCUUAGCUGCUCCCAGAAAAAUAGGGAAAUCUAUUCCAGGGCUCUGAAAUGCACCCUGUCUGCUGGAAUCCCUUGAUGGUGGCCAUUGGGAGCAUUGCUUUGAUGAGUCAAGGAAGCACAGACCCCACCAUCCUCCAUAUCACCUCCCAUAUUUUCUCUCCCAUUUUCCAUAGUAGCCAAAUUAUUUCCAAACAUUGUCUGGACUUUCCUGAUAUUAUCAGGAAAAGAUAGAAGAAAUUACUCAG
Long non-coding RNA from Ochotona princeps (American pika), 573 nucleotides. RefSeq lists it as uncharacterized. The record is from RefSeq and is a predicted model, not a curated record. The transcript is spliced from 3 exons. NCBI's taxonomy places the organism in Eukaryota, Metazoa, Chordata, Mammalia, Lagomorpha, Ochotonidae.